RNAcentral lists this ribosomal RNA (253 nucleotides) under uncultured bacterium. Its description in RNAcentral is "partial 16S ribosomal RNA". It matches the Rfam family "Bacterial small subunit ribosomal RNA", at positions 524 to 776 of the family's 1533-position model. The record is from RNAcentral.
UACGUAGGGUGCGAGCGUUAAUCGGAAUUACUGGGCGUAAAGCGUGCGCAGGCGGUUUUGUAAGCCAGAUGUGAAAUCCCCGGGCUUAACCUGGGAAUGGCAUUUGGGACUGCAAGGCUGGAGUGCGGCAGAGGAGACUGGAAUUCCUGGUGUAGCAGUGAAAUGCGUAGAUAUCAGGAGGAAUACCGGUGGCGAAGGCGGGUCUCUGGGCAACAACUGACGCUGAGGAGCGAAAGCGUGGGGAGCGAACAGG